RNAcentral lists this ribosomal RNA (409 nucleotides) under uncultured bacterium. RNAcentral's name for it is "bacterial SSU rRNA". It matches the Rfam family "Bacterial small subunit ribosomal RNA", at positions 509 to 916 of the family's 1533-position model. The record is from RNAcentral.
CAGCAGCCGCGGUAAUACGGAGGGUGCAAGCGUUGUUCGGAAUUACUGGGCGUAAAGGGCGUGUAGGUGGUACGGCAAGUCGGAUGUGAAAUCUCAUGGCUUAACCAUGAAACUGCAUUCGAAACUGCCGAACUUGAGUUCGGGAGAGGGAAGUGGAAUUCCCAGUGUAGAAGUGAAAUUCGUAGAUAUUGGGAGGAACACCGGUAGCGAAGGCGACUUCCUGGCCCGACACUGACACUGAUACGCGAAAGCGUGGGUAGCAAACAGGAUUAGAUACCCUGGUAGUCCACGCUGUAAACGAUGGAUACUUGGUGUGGGGAGAAUUGACCCUCUCUGCGCCGGAGCUAACGCGUUAAGUAUCCCGCCUGGGGAGUACGGUCGCAAGACUAAAACUCAAAGGAAUUGACGG